RNAcentral lists this ribosomal RNA (425 nucleotides) under uncultured bacterium. Its description in RNAcentral is "partial 16S ribosomal RNA". It matches the Rfam family "Bacterial small subunit ribosomal RNA", at positions 354 to 796 of the family's 1533-position model. The record is from RNAcentral.
GUGGGGAAUCUUGCGCAAUGGGCGAAAGCCUGACGCAGCCAUGCCGCGUGAAUGAUGAAGGUCUUAGGAUUGUAAAAUUCUUUCACCGGGGACGAUAAUGACGGUACCCGGAGAAGAAGCUCCGGCUAACUUCGUGCCAGCAGCCGCGGUAAUACGAAGGGGGCUAGCGUUGCUCGGAAUUACUGGGCGUAAAGGGCGCGUAGGCGGACAGCUUAGUCAGAGGUGAAAGCCCAGGGCUCAACCUUGGAAUUGCCUUUGAUACUGGCUGUCUUGAGUUUGGGAGAGGUGAGUGGAACUCCGAGUGUAGAGGUGGAAUUCGUAGAUAUUAGGAAGAACACCAGUGGCGAAGGCGGCUCACUGGUCCGGUACUGACGCUGAGGUGCGAAAGCGUGGGGAGCAAACAGGAUUAGAAACCCUUGUAGUCC